GGCUUCGUGGUCUAGUGGUAUGAUUCCUGCUUUGGGUGAUCAAUCUCAAAUCUGCAGGAGGCCCCGCGUUCGAAUCGCGGCGGAGCCC
Molecule: non-coding RNA, 88 nt
Organism: Lindgomyces ingoldianus
Lineage: Eukaryota; Fungi; Ascomycota; Dothideomycetes; Pleosporales; Lindgomycetaceae
Source: the annotation of a RefSeq genome assembly